The sequence is a ribosomal RNA, 402 nucleotides long. It matches the Rfam family "Bacterial small subunit ribosomal RNA", at positions 355 to 774 of the family's 1533-position model.
UGGGGAAUAUUGGGCAAUGGGCGAAAGCCUGACCCAGCAACGCCGCGUGAAGGAAGAAGGCUUUCGGGUUGUAAACUUCUUUUCUAUGGAAAGAUAAUGACGGUACCAUAGGAAUAAGCCACGGCUAACUACGUGCCAGCAGCCGCGGUAAUACGUAGGUGGCAAGCGUUAUCCGGAAUUACUGGGUGUAAAGGGCGCGUAGGCGGGACUAUAAGUCCGAUGUGAAAUACCGUGGCUCAACCACGGGGCUGCAUUGGAAACUAUGGUUCUUGAGUGAUGGAGAGGCAGGCGGAAUUCCGUGUGUAGCGGUGGAAUGCAUAGAUAUACGGAGGAACACCAGUGGCGAAGGCGGCCUGCUGGACAUUAACUGACGCUGAGGCGCGAAAGCGUGGGGAGCAAACA